GGUAGGACUACCCGCUGAA
RNAcentral lists this ribosomal RNA (19 nucleotides) under Laccaria sp. A0151. RNAcentral's name for it is "partial 28S ribosomal RNA". Lineage: Eukaryota; Fungi; Basidiomycota; Agaricomycetes; Agaricales; Hydnangiaceae. The record is from RNAcentral.